UAGGGAAUCUUCGGCAAUGGGGGCAACCCUGACCGAGCAACGCCGCGUGAGUGAAGAAGGUUUUCGGAUCGUAAAGCUCUGUUGUAAGUCAAGAACGGGUGUGAGAGUGGAAAGUUCACACUGUGACGGUAGCUUACCAGAAAGGGACGGCUAACUACGUGCCAGCAGCCGCGGUAAUACGUAGGUCCCGAGCGUUGUCCGGAUUUAUUGGGCGUAAAGCGAGCGCAGGCGGUUUGAUAAGUCUGAAGUUAAAGGCUGUGGCUCAACCAUAGUUCGCUUUGGAAACUGUCAAACUUGAGUGCAGAAGGGGAGAGUGGAAUUCCAUGUGUAGCGGUGAAAUGCGUAGAUAUAUGGAGGAACACCGGUGGCGAGAGCGGCUCUCUGGUCUGUAACUGACGCUGAGGCUCGAAAGCGUGGGGAGCGAACAGGAUUAGAUACCCUGGUAGUCCACGCCGUAAACGAUGAGUGCUAGGUGUUGGAUCCUUUCCGGGAUUCAGUGCCGCA
RNAcentral lists this ribosomal RNA (504 nucleotides) under uncultured bacterium. Its description in RNAcentral is "partial 16S ribosomal RNA". It matches the Rfam family "Bacterial small subunit ribosomal RNA", at positions 355 to 850 of the family's 1533-position model. The record is from RNAcentral.